Molecule: non-coding RNA, 93 nt
Organism: Mycena vulgaris
Lineage: Eukaryota; Fungi; Basidiomycota; Agaricomycetes; Agaricales; Mycenaceae
Source: the annotation of a GenBank genome assembly
UCAGACAUGGUGUAAUGGGAACACCGCCUCGUGAAAUGCAGCAUUUGUGACAAUCUUCCGAGGCUGUUUAGGGUUCGAAUCCCUGUGUCUGAA